Molecule: long non-coding RNA, 576 nt
Filed under: Homo sapiens (human)
Lineage: Eukaryota; Metazoa; Chordata; Mammalia; Primates; Hominidae
Description: novel transcript, sense overlapping PSMA3
Source: RNAcentral
ACUUAUUAGUGCUUGGCAUUUAUACAAUGCUAAGUUCUAGAACCCCCUAUAAAACCUAAUUUGUUUCGUAUUUUAGUAAAGCUGACAAAAGGAUCUUAGAGGUCAUUUAGCCCAAGCUCAACUGCAGAUUAAACACACUGCAUAGGACCACAGAAUCAGCUGGUUCUGAACAGUAUCCAGACCUUAUGAGUCUUAGACCUAUGUUCUUUUCCAUUGCACACUUACUAGUAUGAUGCUAGGUUCCUAUCUUCUACUCUUUUCCUUUUGUUUUCAUCUCUCCAUACUAUUAUAUGGAAAUUUGAAAAUUAGAAUAUUUAUGUCAGUUGAGGGGGAUUACCCCUGUAAUCCUACCAGUUUGGUAGGCCAAGUUGGGAGGACUGCUUGAGCCCAGUAGUUCCAAGACCAGGCUGGGCAAAAGAGUAAGACCCUAUCUCCCAAAACAAAAUGUUAGCGAGUAGUUGGGACUACAGGCCUAUGGCCACCUCACCUGGCUAAUUUUUGUAUUUUUAGUAGAGACGUGGGUUCACCAUGUUGGCCAGGAUGGUCUCGAACUCCUGACCUCAUGAUCCACCCGCC